RNAcentral lists this long non-coding RNA (1146 nucleotides) under Heterocephalus glaber (naked mole-rat). RNAcentral describes it as "lncRNA (ENSHGLG00100044765.1)". The record is from RNAcentral. Lineage: Eukaryota; Metazoa; Chordata; Mammalia; Rodentia; Bathyergidae.
CUCUCUAGGACCCUAGAGGCCUGGCGUCUCUGCUCCUCCGGCCCAGCUCCUGCCCCGCCCGCCCGCUCGGCGCCCGGACCCCGCCGAGUUCCCCUCUGCAGGAGGGGCCGACCCUGGGCUUGGGUCCGGCAGGCGCGCGGUUGCCACGGUGCCAGAGGCGCGGGAGGCCUGGCCCUGCCCCUCCGGGUGUCGCGAACAGGUACCGUGGGUAAAAGAGGACUCAGACUCAGAUGGCAAUUCACAUACUUAUCUUAUAUUGUCAUAAUUCAUUUCAAUACAAUUACCACACACUAUGCAAUUAUCACACAAUAUUAAGUCUGCCAAUUACCACGUCCCUGUACCUGUACUGCGCAAGUCCUUAUGGGAGCACGACGUUUCCUCCCGCAGGGUCAGAGGGUCCGAUCCCUAGACGAAGGGCGUCGAGUCGGCGCUAGGCUAUCUGCCUCUCCGCUUGCCUCAUCCUCUGGUCUCAUCUGGUCGGAGGCGAUGCUCCUCCCAGUGGGAUCAGCUGUGCAUAGGUCUCGGUCGGUAGUCAGAUCAUCAGAUUGACUGGUCGACUGGUCAGUGGGACGGAUCGUCAACUUGCUUGGGGUCUUCAGCUCCUUUUAUACUAUUCUAACUGGGUGUUUGUGGUAUUGGUUCAGACUUAUCACACUGUCCAUUUCGUGGGCACACCCUGUCCAGUUCAGGGCACACCCUUAUCAGUUCCAUACUGCUUAAGGUUCUACUUUCAUAUCUUAUGGUUACACAUCACUCUUAUGAUUGUGUUAUAUUUAGGUUACAGCACUCUUAAAGUCACAGCACACUUUAGGAUUACAGCACACUUAGGGUUCUACUGUUGUGCCCAGAUCGUGGAAGUCCCCAAAGACCACCAAGGAGCUGAUUCCGAUGUAAACACACGAGGGUUGUUUAUUCAAGCUCGAGCAGGGGCACUCAACCGUCAUCGACACAGUGGAUCAGGAUUGAGAGCCCCGAAUUUCAAAUCAGCAGGGUUUUUAUUGUGGCUACAGCAAGGUUUGGGGAUUUUCCAUUUAGCAGUUACAUGAUUGGUUGAUAUUUAGCAAGUAUGGGGUGUACAUGGGGGGGCGUUGAGGGGUGGCUACAUGUAGAUUUUAUGGGAAAAAGGAACAAUCAGCACAUUGACAG